AGAGCUAGCCUACGGGAGCAGCAGUGAGGAAUAUUGGUCAAUGGGCGCGAGCCUGAACCAGCCAAGUCGCGUGAGGGAUGACGGUCCUACGGAUUGUAAACCUCUUUUGCCGGGGAGCAAGCGUGCGUUCGUGAACGCACGUCGAGAGUACCCGGAGAAAAAGCAUCGGCUAACUCCGUGCC
This 182-nucleotide ribosomal RNA is filed under the name uncultured bacterium. Its description in RNAcentral is "partial 16S ribosomal RNA". It matches the Rfam family "Bacterial small subunit ribosomal RNA", at positions 327 to 509 of the family's 1533-position model. The record is from RNAcentral.